UACGGAAGGCAGCAGUGGGGAAUAUUGCACAAUGGGCGCAAGCCUGAUGCAGCCAUGCCGCGUGUAUGAAAAAGGCCUUCGGGUUGUAAAGUACUUUCAGUCGUGAGGAAGGUGUUAAGGUUAAUAACCUUAGCAAUUGACGUUAGCGACAGAAGAAGCACCGGCUAACUCCGUGCCAGCAGCCGCGGUAAUACGGAGGGUGCGAGCGUUAAUCGGAAUUACUGGGCGUAAAGGGCACGCAGGCGGUUAAUUAAGUUGGAUGUGAAAUCCCCGGGCUUAACCUGGGAAUGGCAUUCAAGACUGGUUAGCUAGAGUCUUGUAGAGGGGGUAGAAUUCCAUGUGUAGCGGUGAAAUGCGUAGAGAUGUGGAGGAAUACCGGUGGCGAAGGCGGCCCCUGGACAAAGACUGACGCUCAUGUGCGAAAGCUGGGGAGCGAAACAGGGAUUAGAUAC
This 452-nucleotide ribosomal RNA is filed under the name uncultured bacterium. RNAcentral's name for it is "bacterial SSU rRNA". It matches the Rfam family "Bacterial small subunit ribosomal RNA", at positions 340 to 785 of the family's 1533-position model. The record is from RNAcentral.